UCUGCUACAGGCUGACAUGAACCACGUCACCCUCGAUAUCGCAGUUUCACAUCUCUUCUCUCUCUAUAUGAUAGAUGGCUCUGACCGAACCGUUGCUUAAAACAGCACAAAACACAUAAUGCGAAUAUGCACCGUUCUGACAGUGAUGUGCGUCCUUCUGGCACCCACCACUGCAGGAGAAAGCUGCCGGCCUAUGGAAUAUGAUGUCAGUGGGAUAUGUUGUCCAAUGUGCGAUAAAGGAAGUGUUGUGAAGCGAAACUGCACCCAUGGCUCGAGUACGAGCUGCACGCCGUGUGAGAGAGGCACGUACAUGGACAUGGCCAGUGGACUGAGCCGGUGUUACAGCUGUCGAACCUGUAAAGCAGGUAGUGAACAAUCUUAAAGGUCCCAUGGCAUGCUACAUUAUGGAUGCUUUAAAAAGGUCCCAUGGCAUGAAAAUCUCACUUUAUGAGUUUUUCUAACAUAAAUAUAAGUCCCCCUAGCCUGCCUAUGGUCCCCCAGUGGCUAACACUUGCGUUCGAUGUAAAACGAGCACUAGGUGUUCUGCUCGCCUUUGAAAAAACGGAGGCUCAAGUGUUCUGAUUUGGAAUGUGGUCCCUUAUGUCGUCAUAAAGGAUCUAAGCUCCUCCCCUUUCGCUGCAUUGCCCGCCCAGAUCAUUUGGCCCGCCAAUGAGACAAGACCGUGUGAGCACCACUUGUGUGUGUGUGUGUGUGUGUGUGUUUGUGUGUGUGUGUGUGUGUGUGUGUGUGUGUGUGUGUGUGUGUGUGUGUGAUUACACACACUGUAACGCAAGUGUUUGCUGUUGGUGUUAUGGCGCUGUUACGUAUUUUAAGCACAUAAGCUGCCCCCACAUGGCCACUAGGAAGCAGGAUCGAACACACAAGCUGCAUUACCCCCACAUAGCCACAUGGGAGCAAGAUCGAACACAUAAGCUGUAAUUACUAUACAUAGCCACAAGGGGAGCAGGACCCGACAUACAAGCUGCAAUAACUACUCCAGCCACAGAUGGCAGCACCUUGAGACGAGUGAAGAGGGCGGAGCCAAUACGUCAGGCCACGCCUACUUGAUACAAACCAGAGCGGGAGUCAGAUUUGAGGUCAGAGACAGGUGGCAGCCCCAUUGAGAGACCCGGGGGAAGCCCCGGGGCUGGAGGAUAGCUCUGCGGUAUUUUUCUCCACACGUGUUAAAUACAAUUCCUCCCCUUUUUGCUUCAUAGUUAGCAUACCAAAAUACUUUAACAAAUAAAGUGAGUUAAAAGCGACCCGGAUUGGACUACUUACUUACAAGAACACGACAUUGCAUAACACCUAGGUUCUUUGACGUCUCUUGUAUUUACACAACAAGACUGUAGUUGGGGUUAUCUCAGCCAUGGUUGAGAAGGAAUUGGCGGAAAGGAACUUUGGCUUUGACUCCCUGAAGUACAUGAACUGUGACAUGCUGCCUGCCGCCGGUUGCCGCGAGGCACCACCGCCGCGAAGCACCACCCAGCAGCGGGCAGCCGGCAGCAGGCAGCGCGCAGUUCUGUCUACUACAGAUUGAUGUGGAAGUGGAAGAACCAGAGACGUCGGAGAACCUGACGAGGUCCUUUGUGAUUCAUUAUAUCGUCUGGACGUGCACACAGCUUUUGGCCGUGAUAAUAUGUAUUAUUUGAUAUAGAUAUCUAUGUAUUAUAUGAUAUUAUUUAGAUAAAGAGCUCCAGGACUGUAACGCAAGUGUUGUACACUUCCUUGUUAUUUGGAUAAGCGUUCUGCUGUUGGUGUUAUGGCGCAUAACACGUCGGACUCUCGUCUCUGGUAUUUCCACAACGAGACUCGUAGUGGGGGUUAUCUCAGCCACGGUUGAGAAGGAAUUGGUGGGAAAGGAGCUUUUGGCCUUGGCUCCCUGAAGUACAUGAACCACGACAUGGAGGAGAAAGGGAUUGUUGCCCGCGAAUGUCUCCCGCUUGGGCACCGCUUCCCGCUGCCGAGGGACCACCGCCUCGGCGCUGCAGGUGGCAGUGGUGCCUAAGCGCUGACCGGCGGUCCCUCGGCAGCGAGGCUCCGGCGGGAGACAACCGCGGUCAACAAUCGCAGAAAACAAACCCUUUCUCCUCCAUGUCGUGGUUCAGUCUACUUCAGAUUGAUGUGGACGUGGAAGGACCAGAGACGUCGGAGAACCCGAAGCGGCCGUUUGAGAUUCAUAAUAUCGUCUGGAGGCUCACACAGCUUUUGGCCGUGAUAAUAUGAUCAUAUGAUAUAGAUAUCUAUGUAUAAUAUGAUAUUAUUUAGAUAGAGAGCUCCAGGACUGUAAGGCAAGUUAGAGUCGCAGUUCUGAUAAAUAAAAUGUAGAAAAAUACAAACUUAAGAUAUGGGGGGGGCCUCUCCCAACCGCUAAGCACACAUAAAGCUGUUGGAAGGCCGCACUCGGUCACAAGAAGCGCAACGUCUGUCACCUCCCUGCACCAGCCCAUUCCCCAACAGCGCCAUGGAGCAGGAGAACAAGGUCUGGUAGCAGAACGGGAGUGCACCAGAGAACAGGACUCAGCCUGCACCGUAUUGGAUGGCUUCUACUGCCAGGAGCCCAACCAGGAAUCAGGCUGCACUCUGGCUCAGAAACACACCCAGUGUAAUGCUAGCCAGAUGACUAAAUUACCUGGAACCAGGGGCACUGACACGGUCUGUGAGGACUGCAAGACUGGAUAUUAUUCUACAGGUGGUAAUAAAUGUACAGAAUGGAAAAGCUGCGGGAAUGGAAAUGUGCUGCAAAAGGGAAGCCAAACCAAAGACGCGGUCUGCAACACAGCCCCAAGAAGACAUCACUAUGUUGUACUAUUAUCAGUGCUGCUGCUGUUGUUGCCUGGUUAGUUAAAGGAGACAUCAGGUGUCAAAUGGAUCUGGGAUAUGUUUGGUAUGAUAACGAGUUGGAAUGCUCGUUUGGGAGCAAAAAAGCGCACAUAGACGUAUUCUUAAGUUGGCUGUUUUUAGCCGAUUCUACCAAAACGCUAUAAACUUGGAACGAUAGGGGCAUGUCUCAUGGUAAAAACGAAAUCACUAUUUUAAACCACUUCCAAGGCUAGAAGUAGCCCGACACUUCUUUGGUAGUAUAAUAAGGGUCUUAACAUGUAAAACAAGGCUUGAUUACUUUGUAAGUGCAGAUUGUUUAUUAAAAAGGAUGGGUAGAUUGGCGAACACAGAGCUUGUGACAUCCGUCAACAACACGCAAGCUCUGUGUUCGCUAGGGGUGUAACGGUACACUACACGUAUUUGUACCGAACCGUCACGGUACAGGCACUUCGGUGCGGUUACAGAGGUAUACCGCAAUACGUAAAUGUGGCGUACAUAGCGUUAAUAUGGCGAAUGUAAAGGCUUGUUUUGCGAUGCAGAAUUUAAAACUUGAAGUAGGAGUUCCACGUAGUUAGUCAUUCGAUUGUGCUACAAGAGCUACAUGUUUCACUUUUAUUAUGCUAACGAAGUGGUUUUGUGGGUUUUCAACAUGUUAAGUCAUCGUCCCCAUAGAUAGAUAGACUUUAUUGAUCCCUUGGGAAUGCUCCUUCAGGGAAAUUCAAAAUUCCAGCAGCGGUAGUACAGACAACUCACAAAAACGAGCAAGAAAAACACACACUAAAAUGCAUCAAGACAUGAUAUAAAUAAACACAUUUUAAGAAGAAGCAGCAGCAGCAGGUGUUAGCAGCAAUUAUAUCUUAUUUGUGUUCUUGUUUAAUAAAUGGAGUGUGUAGCAAUAAAUAAAUAAAUAGAUUAUGCAAGCUCGAUCAGUCUAUCCCAGUGGUUUUCAAACUGUGGGGCGCGCCCCCCCUGGGGGGCGCCAGAGUUCUUCAGGGGGGGCGCGACGUGAGAAAAAAAUAAACCCGAAGAAAACCCUGAAAGACGAUGAUUCAAAUCAUCAGUCGUACUUCAACUGUAGAAGUAACAUAACUAAAUCAAUUUUCAACCGUUUAUCUUCGUGCAAACCAUUUAACAAAUCUACACACUUGUAUCUUCAAUAAUAUCGAAACAGAAUUUCGAUAUCAUUUAAAAUGUCUUCAGAAUCACAGUUUUAGUUUCAUACUGCUUCGUUUUCAGCUGUUUUCAUUGAAGACGUCAGCCCAUUCUGAUACACCUACUUCUAGACAUCGUAACUCAUUCCUUUUUCAACCGUUUACCUUCGUUCAAACCAUUAAACAAAUCUACACACUUGUAUCUUCAAUACUAUCUAAACGGAAUUUUGAUAGCAUUUAUACUUUUUUCAGAAUCACAGUUUUAGUUUCAAACCGGCGUCGUUUUCAGUUGGUUAUAAUUUUGAGGUCACCAUAGCAACGCCGGUAAACAAACCCCGCCGAAUAGUCGAAUCUCUGGACUGAAAAGGCAGAUCUGAUUCGACUCAGAAAAUUCAGAGUCGGGGACCCUGAAUGAAUCUGUAAACUGGCAGUUUACACAGAUUAAGAUGUUCAAAUGUAUUUAAAAAGGUUAAGCUAAAACAUGCUUAGAUAAAGUUGUUACAUUUUGUUGUUUAAAAACGCAAAAAGAUGUAAUGUUUCAGAAAUAUGUUUAAAAAAUAUGUUAAAAAAUUUGUUUCAAAUGUUUCAAAAAUAUGUUCCAAAUGUUUUAAAAAUUAUGAUCGGAGAUGUUUGAAAUGUGUAAAAUAAUUAAAAUAGCUUUCAAA
Molecule: RNA transcript, 4639 nt
Organism: Gadus chalcogrammus (walleye pollock)
Lineage: Eukaryota; Metazoa; Chordata; Actinopteri; Gadiformes; Gadidae
Gene name: tumor necrosis factor receptor superfamily member 14-like
Exons: 6
Source: RefSeq, a predicted model, not a curated record